RNAcentral lists this unclassified non-coding RNA (375 nucleotides) under uncultured fungus. Its description in RNAcentral is "sequence contains ITS1". The stretch from base 1 to 105 matches the Rfam family "5.8S ribosomal RNA", at positions 50 to 154 of the family's 154-position model. The record is from RNAcentral. Lineage: Eukaryota; Fungi.
GAAAUGCGAUACGCAAUGCGAAUUGCAGAAUUCCGCGAAUCAUCAGAUUCUUGAACGCAACUGGCGCUGGGAGGAUAUCCUCCCAGCAUGUCUGUUUCAGUGUCUGAUAACUUCCAAAGAAGAACAUAAUGUGUUUGACGAGGGAUAUGACCUGAUCUUGUUAUCUUGUUCAUAUCUUGAGUCUUACAUUAAAGAUGUAUGUGUGGGUCUUUGGAUCCAUCGAAUUGGUCACUGACACCUCAGUGAUUUCGAUAGGAAAUCCAAUUACUCGUAUGCACAUAGAAACUAUGUAUGUAUAUAUUCAUUUAUAUAGAUACAUAAACAAACCUCUAAUAUCUGCAUCUGAAAUCAGGCAAGAACACCCGCUGAACUUAA